UGGGGAAUUUUGGACAAUGGGCGAAAGCCUGAUCCAGCAAUGCCGCGUGUGUGAAGAAGGCCUUCGGGUUGUAAAGCACUUUUGUCCGGAAAGAAAUCCUUGGCUCUAAUACAGUCGGGGGAUGACGGUACCGGAAGAAUAAGCACCGGCUAACUACGUGCCAGCAGCCGCGGUAAUACGUAGGGUGCAAGCGUUAAUCGGAAUUACUGGGCGUAAAGCGUGCGCAGGCGGUUUGCUAAGACCGAUGUGAAAUCCCCGGGCUCAACCUGGGAACUGCAUUGGUGACUGGCAGGCUAGAGUAUGGCAGAGGGGGGUAGAAUUCCACGUGUAGCAGUGAAAUGCGUAGAGAUGUGGAGGAAUACCGAUGGCGAAGGCAGCCCCCUGGGGCCAAUACUGACGCUCAUGCACGAAAGCGUGGGGAGCAAACAGGAUUAGAUACCCUGGUAGUCCACGCCCUAAACGAUGUCAACUAGUUGUUGGGGACUUCAUUUCCUUAGUAACGUAGCUAACGCGUGAAGUUGACCGCCUGGGGAGUACGGUCGCAAGAUUAAAACUC
This 556-nucleotide ribosomal RNA is filed under the name uncultured bacterium. Its description in RNAcentral is "partial 16S ribosomal RNA". It matches the Rfam family "Bacterial small subunit ribosomal RNA", at positions 355 to 902 of the family's 1533-position model. The record is from RNAcentral.